CCUACGGGUGGCAGCAGUGAGGAAUAUUGGUCAAUGGUCGUAAGCCUGAACCAGCCAAGUCGCGUGAGGGAUGAAGGUUCUAUGUAUCGUAAACCUCUUUUAUAAGGGAAUAAAGUCCGGGACGUGUCCCGUGUUGUGUGUACCUUAUGAAUAAGGAUCGGCUAACUCCGUGCCAGCAGCCGCGGUAAUACGGAGGAUGCGAGCGUUAUCCGGAUUUAUUGGGUUUAAAGGGUGCGUAGGCGGCCUUUUAAGUCAGCUGUGAAAGUCUGUGGCUCAACCCUAGAAUCGCCUUUGAAACUGGGAGGCUUGAGUAGGUUAGAGGCAUGCGGAAUGCGCGGUGUAGCGGUGAAAUGCAUAGAUAUCACGCAGAACUCCGAUUGCGAAGGCAGCAUGCCAAGUCAUGACUGACGCUGAUGCACGAAAGCGUGGGGAUCGAACAGGAUUAGAUACCCUUGUAGUC
This 460-nucleotide ribosomal RNA is filed under the name uncultured bacterium. Its description in RNAcentral is "partial 16S ribosomal RNA". It matches the Rfam family "Bacterial small subunit ribosomal RNA", at positions 338 to 795 of the family's 1533-position model. The record is from RNAcentral.